AAGUGUGUCCUCUUAAAGUAAUAAAGGUUUAAUUUGUAGCAAGGGAGGAAGAGUCUUACUUUAAUAGUUUAGAUUUCCAACUUUCAAUUAUUUAUUAAUUUGUGUUAUAUAACAUUAUCUUUACGCAUUCAUUUGUGUUAUAAAAGUAAUGAACAUUUCAUUACUAGGGUUCACACUAGAUGAGUCUAAAUUCCUUCGUCAUAAGAUGGAUGGCAACUAUAGAAACCUCUUUCAAUUUCUCUAUUGACUAAUCAAAAAUUUAAAAAAAAAAAAAAAAAAAAAAAAAAAGGAAGGGAAAGCAGCCCAUUCAACUUCCAAACCAACAAAAGUAAAAAUGGAGAAAAAGUGAAAAAAUAAAAUAAAAAAUGAAAAAUAAU
This 377-nucleotide long non-coding RNA is filed under the name Vitis vinifera (wine grape). RNAcentral's name for it is "long non-coding RNA (VVIN_LNC005743)". Lineage: Eukaryota; Viridiplantae; Streptophyta; Magnoliopsida; Vitales; Vitaceae. The record is from RNAcentral.